Molecule: ribosomal RNA, 505 nt
Filed under: uncultured bacterium
Lineage: Bacteria
Description: partial 16S ribosomal RNA
Rfam family: Bacterial small subunit ribosomal RNA
Source: RNAcentral
GACGAACGCUGGCGGCGUGCCUAAUACAUGCAAGUGGGACGCAAGGAAACACACUGUGCUUGCACACCGUGUUUUCUUGAGUCGCGAACGGGUGAGUAACGCGUAGGUAACCUGCCUAUUAGCGGGGGAUAACUAUUGGAAACGAUAGCUAAUACCGCAUAAUAUUAAUUAUUGCAUGAUAAUUGAUUGAAAGAUGCAAGCGCAUCACUAGUAGAUGGACCUGCGUUGUAUUAGCUAGUUGGUAAGGUAAGAGCUUACCAAGGCGACGAUACAUAGCCGACCUUGGAGGGUGAUCGGCCACACUUGGACUGAGACCCGGCCCAGACUCCUACGGGAGGCAGCAGUAGGGAAUCUUCGGCAAUGGACGAAAGUCUGACCGAGCAACGCCGCGUGAGUGAAGAAGGUUUUCGGAUCGUAAAGCUCUGUUGUAAGUCAAGAACGUGUGUGAGAGUGGAAAGUUCACACAGUGACGUUAGCUUACCAGAAAGGGACGGCUAACUACGUG